GCAGCGGAAGAUCAAGGAUUGGUCCAAGCAUCACAUCAAGUAUAUCAUACAGUUCAAGCUUGCUGUGGAGCAAGCUCGGGCUGGAAAAUGAGCCCAGCUUCGUCAGCAUUGCCCGAUCGCGUUCAACAACUAUCUCACAUGGUUUCUUGCAAGCACCCGUGUGGAGGUAUGCAAGCCGGCGUAUGUCGAGGAGAUUUUGGAAGAAUCCACCGUUUUUGAUGAGGUAGCCCAGCACCAGUACAACGCAUUAGUCAGGAAAGGCAACUCAGUGAUCCCUUCAGCUCCAAUGAUGAACUUUGUGCGUGCCCAGAUCAAGAAAGCAGCUGAUGAGACCGACACUAUUCUGGAAACAACCCCGGCUGGCAAAAGUGAUGGGGAAGGUGCACUUCGAGCAUUCAUUAAGCGCCAGGGCCAAAAGUUAAGGCGGCUAUCAAACCUUUCGGUUGUCGUGACCCCGAGUAUGUAUCACCAGAACGUUCUAGGUCGGUGACACCAUCAGAUCCAACUUCUGGCAACGCUGAUCCUUUGGAGGAUGAGGAUGC
Molecule: non-coding RNA, 542 nt
Organism: Triticum urartu
Lineage: Eukaryota; Viridiplantae; Streptophyta; Magnoliopsida; Poales; Poaceae
Source: RefSeq, a predicted model, not a curated record